CCUACGGGUGGCAGCAGUGAGGAAUAUUGGUCAAUGGGCGCGAGCCUGAACCAGCCAUGUAGCGUGCAGGAUGACUGCCCUACGGGUUGUACACUUCUUUUAUACAGGAAUAAAGUGAGGCACGUGUGCCUUUUUGUAUGUACUUUAUGAAUAAGGAUCGGCUAACUCCGUGCCAGCAGCCGCGGUAAUACGGAGGAUCCGAGCGUUAUCCGGAUUUAUUGGGUUUAAAGGGAGCGUAGACGGGUUGUUAAGUCAGUUGUGAAAGUUUGAGGCUCAACCGUAAAAUUGCAAUUGAUACUGGCAGGCUAGAGAGCAGUUGAGGUAGGCGGAAUUCGUGGUGUAGCGGUGAAAUGCUUAGAUAUUGCACAGAACACCGAUUGCGAAGGCAGCAUACCGGGGGAGAUCUGACGCUGAGGCACGAAAGCGUGGGGAUCGAACAGGAUUAGAUACCCGAGUAGUC
This 460-nucleotide ribosomal RNA is filed under the name uncultured bacterium. RNAcentral describes it as "partial 16S ribosomal RNA". It matches the Rfam family "Bacterial small subunit ribosomal RNA", at positions 338 to 795 of the family's 1533-position model. The record is from RNAcentral.